Long non-coding RNA from Gracilinanus agilis (Agile Gracile Mouse Opossum), 896 nucleotides. RefSeq lists it as uncharacterized. The record is from RefSeq and is a predicted model, not a curated record. The transcript is spliced from 4 exons. Lineage: Eukaryota; Metazoa; Chordata; Mammalia; Didelphimorphia; Didelphidae.
UGAUUUGUCCUCCGUGUUAGUGCCCUCCUUCCCCCUGGGAGCUGCUUGAGGGUCGGGGCAGAGAGAGAACCAGACCGUGAUAUAAAGGCAAUAAUUCACUCUUUGUGGUCUGAAACAGAUGACAGCUUGUUCCUUUUCCACAGGACCUGAAGGAGAAGAAGGAAAAAGUAGAGGAGAAGACUAGCCGGAAAGAGAGGAAGAAAGACGUGGUAGAGGAGGAGGAGAACGGAGCCGAGGAGGAGGAGGAGGAGACCGCAGAAGAUGGAGAAGAUGAUGAUGAGGGUGAGGAGGAAGAUGAGGAAGAGGAGGAAGAUGAUGACGAAGGGCCCGCACUGAAGAGAGCUGCUGAGGAUGAGGAUGAAGCCGAUCCCAAAAGGCAGAAGACAGAAAAUGGGGCAUCGGUGUGAGCCUCAGCCAUCUGGGCUGAGGGUGGGGAGGACCCCAUGGGGCCUGGAAGUGAGAUGGGGAGGGAUAAGUGCUGGCUCCCUGCUCUGGAUUCCUCCCCAGAGCUGUCCCCCUCCUGUUCUCCCCAGCCUUCUUACUGUCCCCUCUCCAGAUAUCCCAAUUUUUACCUCUCCAUUCCUUCACCUCCUGAACUCUCCCUAGCCCCGAGCUCCCCAGCUGAUCCCCAGACUACUCUUCUUUUCCAUAUCCUCAUAUCUCCUCCCAUCCCCCAGUUGAUUCCUCAAAAUCCGAUUCUGCCCCCUUUCCACAUUCCUAGAUUUCUCCUUCUGCCUUCUCUCCCACUCUCCCUGCCUGAUCCCUGGAUCUCCCUCAGAUUCCCCACCCCCUCACAGCACCAGGCUGGGGUAGGGGCUGAGCCCCACAGCUGCCCCCUCUCCCCUUUAUCCUUUUUGUAUAAUUUAAUAAAGAAAUGGUCGCGCUUCUGUUUUUAA